AUAUACGACCGUACCGCAAACCGACACUGGUGCGCGAGAUGAGUAUUCUAAGGCGCUUGAGAGAACUCAGGAGAAGGAACUCGGCAAAUUGACACCGUAACUUCGGAAGAAGGUGUGCCCUAUUAGUGUGUAGUGAACAACGAAGCGUGAAUGGGUUGCAAAAAAUCGGUGGCUGCGACUGUUUAUUAAAAACACAGCACUCUGCAAACACGAAAGUGGACGUAUAGGGUGUGACGCCUGCCCGGUGCUGGAAGAUUAAAUGAUGGGGUGCAAGCUCUUGAUUGAAGUCCCAGUAAACGGCGGCCGUAACAAUAACGGUCCUAAGGUAGCGAAAUUCCUUGUCGGGUAAGUUCCGACCUGCACGAAUGGCGUAACGAUGGCCACACUGUCUCCUCCUGAGACUCAGCGAAGUUGAAAUGUUUGUGAUGAUGCAAUCUCCCCGCGGAAAGACGGAAAGACCCCAUGAACCUUUACUGUAGCUUUGUAUUGGACUUUGAACAGAUCUGUGUAGGAUAGGUGGGAGGCUUUGAAGCAGGGUCGCUAGAUCUUGUGGAGCCAACGUUGAAAUACCACCCUGGUGUGUUUGAGGUUCUAACCUAGGUCCAUUAUCUGGAUCGGGGACAGUGCAUGGUAGGCAGUUUGACUGGGGCGGUCUCCUCCCAAAGCGUAACGGAGGAGUUCGAAGGUACGCUAGUUACGGUCGGACAUCGUGACGAUAGUGCAAUGGCAUAAGCGUGCUUAACUGCGAGACUGACAAGUCGAGCAGAUGCGAAAGCAGGACAUAGUGAUCCGGUGGUUCUGUAUGGAAGGGCCAUCGCUCAACGGAUAAAAGGUACUCUGGGGAUAACAGGCUGAUACCGCCCAAGAGUUCAUAUCGACGGCGGUGUUUGGCACCUCGAUGUCGGCUCAUCUCAUCCUGGGGCUGUAGCCGGUCCCAAGGGUAUGGCUGUUCGCCAUUUAAAGAGGUACGUGAGCUGGGUUUAAAACGUCGUGAGACAGUUUGGUCCCUAUCUUCCGUGGGCGCUGCAGAUUUGAGGAAGCCUGCUCCUAGUACGAGAGGACCGGAGUGGACACACCUCUGGUGUAUCGGUUGUCACGCCAGUGGCAUUGCCGAGUAGCUAAGUGUGGAAGAGAUAACCGCUGAAAGCAUCUAAGCGGGAAACUCGUUUCAAGAUGAGAUCUGCCGGGGCCUUGAGCCCCCUAAAGAGUCGUUCAAGACCAGGACGUUGAUAGGUCAGGUGUGGAAGCUAAAAG
RNAcentral lists this ribosomal RNA (1254 nucleotides) under metagenome. Its description in RNAcentral is "bacterial LSU rRNA". It matches the Rfam family "Bacterial large subunit ribosomal RNA", at positions 1634 to 2880 of the family's 2925-position model. The record is from RNAcentral.